This 846-nucleotide ribosomal RNA is filed under the name uncultured prokaryote. RNAcentral's name for it is "bacterial SSU rRNA". It matches the Rfam family "Archaeal small subunit ribosomal RNA", at positions 508 to 1353 of the family's 1478-position model. The record is from RNAcentral.
GCUUAAAGGGGCCGUAGCUUGAUAAUAGGGUCCCUUGAGAAAUCCGCCGGCUUAACUGGCGGGCGUUCAGGGGAAACUUGUUUUCUAGGGACCGGGAGAGGUGAGGGGUACUGCCGGGGUAGGAGUGAAAUCCUGUAAUCCCGGUGGGACCACCUAUGGCGAAGGCAUCUCACCAGAACGGGUCCGACAGUGAGGGACGAAAGCUGGGGGAGCAAACCGGAUUAGAUACCCGGGUAGUCCCAGCUGUAAACUAUGUGCGUUAGGUGUGUCAGUGACCACGUGUCACUGAGGUGCCGAAGGGAAACCGUGAAACGCGCCGCCUGGGGAGUACGGUCGCAAGGCUGAAACUUAAAGGAAUUGGCGGGGGAGCACCACAACGGGUGGAGCCUGCGGUUUAAUCGGACUCAACGCCGGGAAUCUCACCGGAUAAGACAGCUGAAUGAUAGUCGGGAUGAAGACUCUACUUGACUAGCUGAGAGGAGGUGCAUGGCCGUCGUCAGUUCGUACUGUGAAGCAUCCUGUUUAGUCAGGCAACGAGCGAGACCCACGCGAGCAGUUGCCAGCUUGACCUUCGGGUUGAUGGGGACACUGCUCGGACCGCCUCUGCUAAAGGGGAGGAAGGACUGGGCAACGGUAGGUCAGCAUGCCCCGAAUUAUCCGGGCUACACGCGGGCUACAAUGGACAGGACAAUGAGUUUCGACACCGAGAGGUGAGGAUAAUCUUCUAACCCUGUCCCAAGUUCGGAUUGCGGGUUGUAACUCACCCGCAUGAAGCUGGAAUCCGUAGUAAUCGCGUUUCAACAUACCGCGGUGAAUAUGUCCCUGCUCCUUGCACACACCGCCCGU